UACGUAGGGCGCGAGCGUUGUCCGGAUUUAUUGGGCGUAAAGAGCUCGUAGGCGGCUUGUCGCGUCAACUGUGAAAACCCGUGGCUCAACCAUGUGGUCUGCAGUCGAUACGGGCAGGCUAGAAUUCGGUAGGGGAGACUGGAAUUCCUGGUGUAGCGGUGAAAUGCGCAGAUAUCAGGAGGAACACCGGCGGCGAAGGCGGUGCUCUGGGCCAGUAUUGACGCUGAGGAGCGAAAGCGUGGGUAGCAAACAGG
This 254-nucleotide ribosomal RNA is filed under the name uncultured bacterium. RNAcentral's name for it is "partial 16S ribosomal RNA". It matches the Rfam family "Bacterial small subunit ribosomal RNA", at positions 524 to 776 of the family's 1533-position model. The record is from RNAcentral.